AAGAAGAAGAAGAAAAGAAGGGAGAGAUUAAUAAGAAAAUAUCCACCUGAUAUAUUUUUACAAAAAUGACUGGAAAAUGAAGUUCAGUUGUAGAGACAUAUGGUUUACUAAAAGAACACAAAAAAGUGGAAAGGACGUGAGGAAUAUUAAAGUUCAGUUAAUUACAUUGUAGCACUUCUUAUUGCAAACUAUAAAUUAACUGAAACCUUCCUUCUGAUAGUCCAUCCAGAAAGAAAGAAG
This 240-nucleotide unclassified non-coding RNA is filed under the name Hevea brasiliensis (rubber tree). Lineage: Eukaryota; Viridiplantae; Streptophyta; Magnoliopsida; Malpighiales; Euphorbiaceae. The record is from RNAcentral.